Molecule: ribosomal RNA, 376 nt
Filed under: uncultured bacterium
Lineage: Bacteria
Description: bacterial SSU rRNA
Rfam family: Bacterial small subunit ribosomal RNA
Source: RNAcentral
UACAGAGGGUGCAAGCGUUGCUCGGAAUUAUUGGGCGUAAAGGGCAGGUAGGUGGUCUUAUUUGUCUAGGGUGAAAUCCCGGAGCUUAACUUCGGAAGUGCCUUAGAAACGGUAAGACUAGAGUCCUAGAGAGGUUUGUGGAAUUCCCGGUGUAGCGGUGAAAUGCGUAGAGAUCGGGAGGAAUACCAGCAGCGAAGGCGGCAAACUGGAUAGGAACUGACACUCAACUGCGAAAGCGUGGGGAGCAAACAGGAUUAGAUACCCUGGUAGUCCACGCCGUAAACGAUGGGUACUAGGCUUUAUGGGAAUUGACCCCUGUGGAGCCGGAGCUAACGCAAUAAGUACCCCGCCUGGGAAGUACGGUCGCAAGACUAAA